UUUUUUUUUUUUUUGCCUUUUUUUUUGUUUCUGAAAUGGAGUCUUGUUCUGUCUCCCAGGCUGGAGUGCAGUGGCACAAUUUUGGCUCACUGCAACCUCUACCUUGUGGGUUCAAAUGAUUCUCCUGCCUCAGCUUCCUGAGUAGCUGGGACUACAGGCACCUGUCACCAUGCCUGGCUAAUUUUUUUGUAUUUUUAGUAGAGAAAGGGUUUCACCGUGUUGGCCAGAGCUGUUCUUGAACUCCUGACCUCAGGUGAUCCACCCACCUUGGCCUCCCAAAGUGCUGAGAUUACAGGCGUGAACCACCAUGCCUGGCUUUGUUUUUGAUUUUUGAGAUAGGAUCUCACUCUGUGGCCCAGGCUGGGUUGCAGUGGCAGGAUCAUAGCUCAUUGCAGCUUUGACCUCCCUGGCUCAGUCGAUCCUCCCGCCCCAGCCUCCCAAGUAGCUGGGACACAGGUGCGUGCCACUACACCUGGCUAAUCUUUAAAAUUUGUAGAGAGAGGGGGGUUUCACUAUGUUGUCCAGGCUGACCUCUAACUCCUGGGCUUAAGGGAUCCUCCCAUCUUGGCCUUCCAAAGUGUUGAGAUAACAGGUGUGAGCCACUGUGCCUGGCCAGUUUUAUACAGGAGAGGGGAGUGUCUGGAGAAAGGCAAAGGAGAGGUGUGUUCCAUGAGAAUCCUUAUCCUUCUUGAGCGGCAUUAGUGGGAGGUAGCCAAGGGGUAGUGGGUAGGAUCGAAGCGAUUGCUAACUGCUAAUAUGAUCUGAAAUGUGGCAGAACUUGGAAUUAACUUGGUAGAUGUGAGCAUUGAUAUUGGAGUUACUCAUGACAAAGGGAGUAACUCUGACCCUGGAGAAAGAAGGGUUAUUCAGGUUUAGUGCAUGACAUCUUUCCUCUUCAUGGAGCUGACCUAAGGCGGAAUAUAAGGGGAAUGGGAGGGGCGGCUUGGAAAUCAACACCUGCCACCCUCACGACUGAUAACUUGAAGGAUCCUCUGGACGACUGAUAACUUGAAGGAUCCUCUGAACAACACCUCCCACCCUCACGACGGAUAACUUGAAGGAGCCUCUGCAGCAGAGGCAGGAGUCUGGAGGCUGGGAUAGUAUCAGA
Molecule: long non-coding RNA, 1108 nt
Filed under: Macaca fascicularis (crab-eating macaque)
Lineage: Eukaryota; Metazoa; Chordata; Mammalia; Primates; Cercopithecidae
Description: lncRNA (ENSMFAG00000065483.1)
Source: RNAcentral